Molecule: long non-coding RNA, 888 nt
Organism: Oncorhynchus tshawytscha (Chinook salmon)
Lineage: Eukaryota; Metazoa; Chordata; Actinopteri; Salmoniformes; Salmonidae
Source: Ensembl
UAUGAGUUGGGGUUGGGUUAAUGAUAGAGGUUGUUGUUGGGGUAGUGGUAGGGGUUGUUGUUGGGGUAAUGGUAGGGGUUGUUGUUGGGGUAAUGGUAAGGGUUGUUGUUGGGGUAAUGGUAAGGGGUGUCAUUGGGGUAAUGGUAAGGGUUGUCAUUGGGGUAAUGGUAGGGGUUGUUGUUGGAGUAAUGGUAGGGGUUGUUGUUGGGGUAAUGGUAAGGGUUGUCGUUGGAGUAAUGGUAGGGGUUGUUGUUGGGGUAAUUGUAGGGGUUGUUGUUGGGGUAAUGGUAGGGGUUGUUGUUGGAAUAAUGGUAGGGGUUGUUGUUGGGGUAAUUGUAGGGGUUGUUGUUGGGGUAAUGGUAAGGGUUGUCGUUGGGGUAAUGGUAAGGGUUGUCGUUGGGGUAAUGGUAGGGGUUGUUGUUGGGGUAAUGGUAGGGGUUGUUGUUGGGGUAAUGGUAAGGGUUGUUUGGGGUAAUGGUAAGGGUUGUCGUUGGGGUAAUGGUAGGGGUUGUUGUUGGGGUAAUGGUAGGGGUUGUUGUUGGGGUAAUGGUAAGGGUUGUCGUUGGGGUAAUGGUAAGGGUUGUUGUUGGGGUAAUGGUAGGGGUUGUGGUUGGGGUAAUGGUAGGGGUUGUUGUUGGGGUAAUGGUAGGGGUUGUCGUUGGGGUAAUGGUAGGGGUUGUUGUUGGGGUAAUGGUAGGGGUUGUCAUUGGGGUAAUGGUAGGGGUUGUUGUUGGGGUAAUGGUAGGGGUUGUUGUUGGGGUAAUGGUAGGGGUUGUUGUUGGGGUAAUGGUAGGGGUUGUUGUUGGGGUAAUGGUAGGGGUUGUUGUUGGGGUAAUGGUAGGGGUUGUGGUUGGGGUAAUGGUAGGGGUUGUUUGGGGUAAUGAUUUG